RNAcentral lists this unclassified non-coding RNA (348 nucleotides) under soil metagenome. RNAcentral describes it as "partial contains 5.8S ribosomal RNA, internal transcribed spacer 2, and large subunit ribosomal RNA". The stretch from base 1 to 120 matches the Rfam family "5.8S ribosomal RNA", at positions 35 to 154 of the family's 154-position model. The record is from RNAcentral.
GAUGAAGAACGCAGCGAAAUGCGAUAAGUAAUGUGAAUUGCAGAAUUCAGUGAAUCAUCGAGUCUUUGAACGCACAUUGCGCCCCCUGGUAUUCCGGGGGGCAUGCCUGUCCGAGCGUCAUUGCCGCCCUCAAGCACGGCUUGUGUGUUGGGCCCCCGCCCCCCGACUUCGGGGGGCGGGCCCGAAAGGCAGCGGCGGCACCGCGUCCGGUCCUCGAGCGUAUGGGGCUUCGUCACCCGCUCUGUAGGCCCGGCCGGCGCCCGCCGGCGACCCCAAUCAAUCUUUCCAGGUUGACCUCGGAUCAGGUAGGGAUACCCGCUGAACUUAAGCAUAUCAAUAAGCGGAGGA